UGAGAUAAUUGGGUCAUGGGGGUGAAGCCCUCAUGAUGGGAUUAAAGGCCUUGUAAGAAGAGACACAGCGACUUUCUCUUCAGCCCUCCUCCCUCCAUCAUGUGAGGACACAGCAAGAGGAUGGCCACCCACAAAGCUAGGAAGAAGGCCCUAACCAAGCAGGCAAUCAUGCUGACACCCUGAUCUCGAACACCUACACUCAGUUAGGUGUAGUGACUCGUGCCUGAAAUACCAGCACUUUAGGAGGCCAAGGCAAGAGAAUCACUUGAGGCUAAGAGUUUGAGGCCAGCCUGGGCUAUAGUGAAACCCCGUCUCUACAAAAAAAGUUUUAAGACUCGGUGGGGUAGCUCACACCUGUAAUCCCACCACUUUGGGAGGCUGAGGUGGGGGGAUCAUGAGGUCAGGAAUUAGAGACCAGCCUGGUUAAUAUGGUGAAACCCUGUCUCUACUAAAAAUACAAAAAUUAGCUUGGAGUGAUGGCAUGCACCUGUAGUCCCAUCUACUUGGGAGGCUGAGGCAGGAGAAUCGCUUGAACCCGGGAGGUGGAGGUCUCAGUGAGCCAAGAUCUUGCCGCUGCACUCCAGCCUGGGUGACAGAGCAAGACUCUGUCUCAAAAAAAAAAAAAAAGGUUUUAAAAUUAGCUGAGUGAGACUCCAUCUCAAAAAAAAAAAAAAAAAAAAGGAAAAGAAAAGAAAGAAAUAAAGUCUAUAUCCAAUAGCCAGAGGUACAGAGGUAUAUCUCUAAGGUCCUUGAUCUUCCAAAUAUAAUGCAAAACCCAGAAGACAUUUUUUUAAAUGAUAAAUUUGACUACUAAGCAAAAAAUUAUGCAUGGCAUAAGUCACAAUUAACAAAGUCAAAAGAAAAAUGAGACAAAUAUUUAAUAAGAAUAUCUGGAAGCACUCAAGAUCCAUUAAGGUAAUUGGAGUGUAAUAUCAGGGAGAAAGAACUAGAAUGUAACUCAAUGCAAUAUACUGAUUGGGUUUUAAUCCUAAAACACUGAUUUUUAUACUGUCCAAAGAAAUUUUG
Molecule: long non-coding RNA, 1026 nt
Filed under: Papio anubis (olive baboon)
Lineage: Eukaryota; Metazoa; Chordata; Mammalia; Primates; Cercopithecidae
Description: lncRNA (ENSPANG00000038063.1)
Source: RNAcentral